AACUACUUUUUUGGAUGAACUUUUUCAGUAAAUACUUUAUUCCGUAUGCAUAAAAACUAUAGUAAGUACUUUUUUUCUUGAAGAAUUACUAGAUUUUUUCAAGGUUACAAAAUACCAACUUGUAAAUUUCAUAGCAUAUACUUCUUUUAUUUUAACACCGUAUAUGAAGCCGUGGAAAUAAUGAAUAGCAGUAUUAAGUCACAUUUUGAGGCAAUCGGUUCUUGAUAUUUAUUAUAAUAGGGUUGUUGUUAAUUUUUUUUUCCAAAUGGUAGAAUUUGUACGUAUUAAUUCCCAAAAAGUCUAUAAAUAUCGAAGUCCGGAUUUUGAAUCAAAUUUUAAACAACUUUAUCGUUUUGAAAGGGAAAAUGUGGAUUGGUUAAGUGAACUCUUUAUUGGUAAGUAAUUUCCAGUAAAAUAAAAAUACUGGUCAACAAGGUUUUUGCCACAAGUGGUAAUUCAUUACAAACAAAGAAGAAAAACUUCCUUCUUUCAAAAACUCGUUUAAUAUUUCCCAUAUCUCUUUGAUUACCCGCGAUAUCUUAAGAUAAUAUAAACCUUUAGCUCAAAGACAGCACUGGUCAACCAAAUUUAUUUGCCACAAUAACUAAAAUAUACUUUUCUGACGCGACGGUUUUUGGGGUGCUGAGGUCGAAUCCGAAACCUGAAAAAUUCUAUUAGCCUCCGUUCUUGAAAUAUUACCGUUAUAAAAUGUUUUUUUUUUUAUAACGGUAGUAUAAUAUAUUUCAAAAACGGAUGCUAAUAGAAUUUUCCUGAUUUCGGAUUCAACCUCAGCACACCAAAAACCUUCAGAAAAGUAUAUUUUGGUUAUUGUGGCAAAAAUCUUAAAAAAACUUAAACUUUAAAUAAAGUUAAGUUUGUUUUUGGCUAAUUAACUUAAACUUAAGAUAUCUCGGGCAUUAAAAACGGCCAAAAUUACAUUUUUGGUCAUUUUAUAACGGUAAUAUUUCAAAAACGGAGGCAAAUCAAUUUUUUCUGACUUCAGAUUCGAGUUCACUCAAAAAACCUUCAGAAAGAUUACUUUGGUUCUUGUAGUUCUUCGUUUAGUGUCGCCCCAGUUUCAGAUUUGUAUUCAUUAGGUAAUAAAUAUUUUUAUACCCUCCGUCUUAGCUUUUUUAAUAGAGGGUUGCUGUGACUUACUCAUAAGUACAUUAUGCACUUUUAAAAUUCGCACAAAAGCUAAGUGCAUUUGGCUUAUUGACAAACCUUUCGUAUUGCUACUCAUCUCUGCUGCUGAAUUACUUUUGACUCAAAAAAUAGCACGAACAGAUGUUCACAAACUCAAAUUUAGAAACAGUAAAUUUAUAAUGGAUUAAACCGUAAAACUUCCAAAACAAUUUAUUUGUAAACACCAAACGAAUACAAAUAAUCUUAAAAAAAAAGUAUUUACUAUCAUUUUUGGGUGAAUUACAGUAUUUACUUGGAUGAAUUCAGUAUAUACUUAAAGUAUUUGCCUGUUAGCAGGUACUUUUUUUUAUGCAUACGAAAUUAAGUAUAUACUAUGAAUUUUACCUUUUACUAGAAUUUAUAGUAUUUACUUUCACCUUUUACUUUAAGUAAGUACCUACUACGUUUUUAUGCAUAUCACCCAAUGUAAAGUAUCUGAAAUAUCAAAAUAUUUAAUUUUUUGAAAUUUUAUUUUGUAAAUUAACUAGAAAACAUAAAAAAAAACUUUUUUUUUUUUAAAUAUAGAUAAGUUAAUUCUUUGAGCCUGUUGAGCGCCCACUUACACUUCACCUAAAAAGCUGAAAUUUCACGUGUGUAAUACAAAACACAUAUGCAACCAAUUUUUGAGUGGGGAACAACGGAAUUGUAAAAACCAAAAAAUUGGACCACCCUAAUGUACAUAAAUAAGUACAUUUCGAUACCUUCUCGUUAGAAUUUAUUAAGAGACAUUUCUAAAAUUGUUCAGGAAACGAAACGAUGGCAGUAUUGUAUUUUUUGAUGGCAGUUAUGUCUGCCUUACAUAGGUGAAGGGCAUCCGCUAGUUGUUCACCUGCCCUUGUUCAUUGUAAUUAUUACGUUUCAAGGAGUCGUCUUCAGUAAAAUCGCGCAAAACCAAAAGUUUUUUUUUACUCGCAGACGGCAAGUACCUUUAUUUAUUCCGUGCCAAAAAAAAGUUCAAGAUUUUAAACAAAACCAACACAACGAUAAUGGAAAAUUAAAAAGAAAAAGUUUUCAUGCCGUCCGUUGGUUUGUAACUCUUUCUGCAUAUCAAGGCCCUAGCCUAAAUAGAUGGAUUGAUAUCCUUGGUACAAAAGAAAUUUGUUUAAUUUCCAAGACCUUUUUUAUUUCUUAGUAUCUUUUUUUGACGUAUAUUUUCUUUACCUAUAACAUUUUGGAGGCAUUGCAAUUUUUUCGAAAACGGCUCUAACGAUUUCGAUGAAAUUUAGUAUACGUAAUGGUCUUAGUCAAUAUAACAAACUUCGUUUUUAGUCUUUCGAAUAACGUUGCCUUUUUCUUUUGCAUUGUCGUUGGCUGAUUUUCCUCAAAAAAAAAAAAAAACAAACUGACGUUUUUAUCGUUGGCAAUCCUUUCCAGACCACAAAAGUUGCUUCGAUUAAAAGACUUAAACAUCUUAGGUUGGGGAAAUUCUGUAAGCCAAGUUUCCAUUAAUUGCCUCUUCGGACAAAUGCUUCCUUCUGACCAAAUUUAAAGAGUUUGGCUGGUACACCAUUUGUAUUAGCAGCUUUUAACAUUUUAAGUCUUAGAUUCUAGAAGAAGAUUGUACAGUGGAAUAUUGGUUGUCUUCGCCAUUUAGAAAUUCAAAAAAAAAAUGUUAUUUCGUUAUCCUAGUAUGCUCUGUACGUGUAUAUCUCCUGCAAUAUUCCCUUCUAUCUCAAUGUUACUUUCUUUCAAGUGAAUGUUCAAGUUCAACCCAUUACCGGUCUCAGUUUGUAUUUAUUCCUUCUUUAAUUGUUUUCGGUAGCUAAUGUUCAGUUUUUCGGGAGUUUUGGCCCAAAUCCAAAAUCAAAACUUUUUGGGUGAUAAGACCUAACGCCCCUUUUUACACUUAUAUAAAUCACAGUUAACAUAGUUUAACAUAAUUUCUGCUUUGUACCUAUUUUAAAGAAGAAUUUGUAUGAUAACAUUCUUCUUUAAAUGAUUGUGAUGUGAUGACUUUUAAUAUUAACAAACAUAGGUCUAUAAACUUGAAGUGCGUUAGAAGGCUUCUGGUCUUUUUUAUGAGACAAAAACCCACCCUAAAAGUCUACGAUAAAUGUUUCGCAUUUCUUCGUAUAGGUAUUAUCUAAACUUUGACAACUUUUAAAAACAAUUAACUGAACAUAAAUUUUAAGAUUUAAGCAAACUCCUCACCUAAUUUUACGAUUUGUUUAAGAUUUAAUUUAUUUGAUAUCUCAACCACAUGCUUGAAUCACAAAAAAAAAAUGCAAAUAAAAGGAUAAGAUUACACAAUACUUUCAAGGACAAUUAAAUAACAUGUUUUUCAAAAUUCUUGGAAUUGUAGAUUUUUUUUUUUCUUCAAAAAAUAAAAUUCUUAAAUAAAUAAAAUACAAAAAACAAGUACAUAAUAAACAAAAAAAAAAAAAUCUCAGGAAAAAAUCAACACACUGAACAAAUAAAAAACAAAUCAAAACUAACAGAAUCUUCUUCUUCAACGCUUAAAUUCCGCAAAGCAACAACAAAUUAACCCCCCAAAUACAAGCAGAAUGACUUUGAAAUCUCAAUUUUCUUAUACCCAAAAUUGAUAAGAGCUUCUGUCUUUUUAUCUUUUCAAUCGAAAAACAUAUAAAUUGCUCUUAGGGACACACAACAUCGCACAGUUUUUAUUUUAAUUUCGUCAAGACAAAACAUUGUUGAUUAAACAAAACAAAAACAAAAAAAAAUAUUUAAAAAAAUGUUUCCUCAAAGACUCUUCAAAGGCUCUAGUAAAAAUCCCUCAGGUCAAAACUAUACAAUUGCUGAUAGUAGUUAUGGCAAGGAUGCUGUAAAAAUCUUGCACGUUAAAC
Molecule: long non-coding RNA, 3989 nt
Organism: Episyrphus balteatus (marmalade hoverfly)
Lineage: Eukaryota; Metazoa; Arthropoda; Insecta; Diptera; Syrphidae
Exons: 2
Source: RefSeq, a predicted model, not a curated record